This 253-nucleotide unclassified non-coding RNA is filed under the name uncultured Bacillaceae bacterium. RNAcentral's name for it is "contains 16S-23S intergenic spacer region". It matches the Rfam family "Bacterial small subunit ribosomal RNA", at positions 524 to 776 of the family's 1533-position model. The record is from RNAcentral. Lineage: Bacteria; Bacillati; Bacillota; Bacilli; Caryophanales; Bacillaceae.
UACGUAGGUGGAAAGCGUUGUCCGGAAUUAUUGGGCGUAAAGCGCGCGCAGGUGGAUAUUUAAGUGAGAUGUGAAAGCCCACGGCUCAACCGUGGAGGGUCAUUGGAAACUGGGGAACUUGAGUGCAGAAGAGGAAAGUGGAAUUCCAAGUGUAGCGGUGAAAUGCGUAGAGAUUUGGAGGAACACCAGUGGCGAAGGCGACUUUCUGGUCUGUAACUGACACUGAGGCGCGAAAGCUGGGGGAGCAAACCGG